UCUCCGUAGGUGAACCUGCGGAGGGAUCAUUACUGAGUGAGGGCGCAAGCCCGACCUCCAACCCCAUGUAAAUCAUACCAUGUUGCCUCGGGGGCGACCCUGCCGCUUCGGCGGUGCGGCGCCCCCGGAGGCCAUUAAACACUGCAUCAUUGCGUCGGAGUUAAAGUAAAUUAAACAAAACUUUCAACAACGGAUCUCUUGGUUCCAGCAUCGAUGAAGAACGCAGC
RNAcentral lists this unclassified non-coding RNA (227 nucleotides) under uncultured fungus. Its description in RNAcentral is "sequence contains ITS1, 5.8S rRNA gene". The stretch from base 179 to 227 matches the Rfam family "5.8S ribosomal RNA", at positions 1 to 49 of the family's 154-position model. Lineage: Eukaryota; Fungi. The record is from RNAcentral.